AAAAGAAACUAACAAGGAUUCCCCUAGUAACGGCGAGUGAAGCGGGAUGAGCUCAAAUUUGUAAUCUGGUGGACUCAGUUCAUCCGAGUUGUAAUCUAUAGAAAAGUUUUCCGCGCCGGACCGUGUCUAAGUCCCUUGGAACAGGGUGUCAGAGAGGGUGAGAAUCCCGUGCUUGAUACGACCACCGGUGCUAUGUGAUACUUUUUCAACGAGUCGAGUUGUUUGGGAAUGCAGCUCAAAAUGGGUGGUAAAUUCCAUCUAAAGCUAAAUAUUGGCGAGAGACCGAUAGCGAACAAGUACCGUGAGGGAAAGAUGAAAAGCACUUUGGAAAGAGAGUUAAACAGUACGUGAAAUUGUUAAAAGGGAAACGAUUGAAGUCAGUCGUGCUCUCUGGGACUCAGCCGGUUCUUCCGGUGUAUUUCCCAGUGAGCGGGUCAACAUCAGUUUAGAUCGCUGGAUAAGGUCAUUAGGAAUGUGGCUCCCUCGGGAGUGUUAUAGCCUAGUGUCGCAUACAGUGGUUUAGACUGAGGAACGCAGCUCGCCUUUAUGGCCGGGGUUCGCCCACGUCCGAGCUUAGGAUGUUGACAUAAUGGCUUUAAACGAC
RNAcentral lists this ribosomal RNA (604 nucleotides) under Holtermanniella festucosa. Its description in RNAcentral is "eukaryotic LSU rRNA". It matches the Rfam family "Eukaryotic large subunit ribosomal RNA", at positions 57 to 648 of the family's 3401-position model. Lineage: Eukaryota; Fungi; Basidiomycota; Tremellomycetes; Holtermanniales. The record is from RNAcentral.